AAAAUAAAAAGUGCCUUUCUCUUAACAAUUUCCUUCAAACCCCAAACGUUUAAUGAACCAAAAGAAAUUCUUGAGUGAACCAUAACAAGAAUAUGCUAAGAAAAUAACUAAUAAUAUUUUUUUUUUUAAAAAAGAAAAAUAUAUAAAUAUGAGUCUAAAUUGUAACACUUGUCACCAACUCAGUGACUACUUUAAGUUGAGCUCUGUUGUCCCAUUAACAAUAUUCCACUGUAUACAGUCUUACUUAAGGUCUUUCAUUCAACGUCACCAAUCCUCCGUCCUUCGAUAUAUCCAUGAGGACCCCGGAAAAAGGCCCGCUUCCCAGCGCGUCUGGCUUGUUCAAUUUGCGGCCACAGCCGCCUCCUCUCUUCCCAAUCCUCCCGCGGCAGUACCUCAGCGAAGUGGAAACCCCCGUUCUUACAGACAGCCGAGUCUUUGGUGCAACGCCAAAUCUCCUCUUUCACAUGUCUCAGAGCACCACAUCCACAGAUUCUUCAAGCUUUGACAUCAUAUCAGACCCCAGCCAUGCACAAGUCAUCGGGAUCCUUGGCAGCAACAUCACCCUUCAAUUUACAUUCAACGUUAGCAUUACUGAAAACAGUCAAAUUGGAAUUUAUACAACAGACGAGAAAAAGAUUGAUGAUUUUAAAAGUGGGAAAAGUUCCUUUGAUAUUUACCCCCAAAAGAAUUCUGUAUUUUACCACAUCACAAAUCUCACUCUAAGCCACAGUAACACCUACUGGGCCAGUUUACUUGGUGUCAUCCCAAUAAAAAGUAAUGAAGUGCAGCUGUUCAUUGAAGAGAAGAAUACACACAGUACAGCCACUGAAACACCCGCUGAGCCUCCACAGUACAAUAGUAAUGCCAUCAUCACUGUUAUCCGUGUCUUCGCCUUCAUCACAUCUUUGGCCUUGGUUGUGGGAGUCUGCAAGAUCUACCAUCUGAAAUGCAUCAAGUCCAGAAACUAAACAGCCACAGAUGGUUAACAGAAGAAAGACGAGACUGAUGGAGCAGAUCCGUGUGUCGUAUACUUUCACACUGGCAUCAAGUUCAUAAAUAACAUAAUGAUUUAUCUGACACAUCUUAAAGAUCUUUUUUUUUCCCUUUUCAGUUUUUUUUUUAAAUGCUUUUUAUAAGCAGAAAAAAAUAAAUACUAGCUUCUAUUAAAUAAAAGCAAAAGUAAACAUGGAAGUGUUGCAGAGGGUCUAAAUACCUUUAGAUGAAAUGAUUUGUUAACAUUUUAUUUUUGGGCUUUUACAUUUGAAACUAUUCUGUAGAAAACCUUCAAUGCAGUGGAUGACAUCAGAG
Long non-coding RNA from Oreochromis aureus, 1308 nucleotides. Lineage: Eukaryota; Metazoa; Chordata; Actinopteri; Cichliformes; Cichlidae. The record is from Ensembl.